This 873-nucleotide long non-coding RNA is filed under the name Oryctolagus cuniculus (rabbit). Its description in RNAcentral is "lncRNA (ENSOCUG00000034191.1)". Lineage: Eukaryota; Metazoa; Chordata; Mammalia; Lagomorpha; Leporidae. The record is from RNAcentral.
UGGGGGUCCCUCAUAAGAAGCCAAACAGAGGGGAUCAUCAAAUCUUGGACUUUCAGUCACCAAAACUGUCCUGCCUGAACUCCAUGGACUUCUAGCAGGAGGAGUACAAUCAUCCCUAGACACAGCGCCAAUUGCUUACUCAACACCAUCUUGCCUUUCAUUUCCAGCCAUCAGUUUUGUGAAUGAGAUAUUACAUUGAUUUUAGCAAAACCUGGAAGUCACGAACAAUUUUGAAUUCUGUUUGGCUCACAAGUGCCUUAGAUUUUUCACUUGAAGUUCCUUUUCUGAAUCCUCAUCCUGGGAGAAGAAUCACUCAUGUCAGGAGCUGUUGCCACUUAUAUGGAAACUCUUGGUUGGGAACACCAGUCAGCAGUAGAAGAUGGAGAUCAGAGUUGGAGUCACUCACGGUUAGAAUCCUCCCUUGGGCUAUAGAAGAGAGCCAGUGGCAAUUCUGGUUUCAAGUUAGAAAGAUUGUUCUCUUUCCAAUGCUGAACCAAAUUGGCUGAGAAGCAACGAUGUGUUCAAAAGAAACCACAGUGGCUCGUCUCACAUGGAGAUUUUCUGAGGUGUGAACACUGAAGACCUUGGGUCCUUGGAGUGCUUUUGUUGCUAAAGAAACUGAAACCGUUUCAAGUGUAGUUUUAUUGAAAAGAGGAACAAUGUUGGGGAGUCAUCGUUAUGCCUGUCUAGAUGAAAUGUGCACAGCUUUCAAGUUAAAACUAUAUAUUUGAAAAUCUAAAAGCUGUCUACAUGGGCCUUUGUAUUAGAAACUCUAUAAUACAUGGAUCAGUGGGAUUCUUUGGAACCUGGGUCGAUUGUGACUAUAUGAAAUAGGCCAGUCCAACUGGGAAUAAAGAGUAAACUACUCAUGCA